ACUUUCUUAGUAUAACUAGUACAACUGACUUCCAAUCAGUAAGCUCCGCCCAAAAGCGGAAGAGAGUA
Molecule: transfer RNA, 68 nt
Filed under: Euryzygomatomys spinosus (Guiara)
Lineage: Eukaryota; Metazoa; Chordata; Mammalia; Rodentia; Echimyidae
Description: tRNA-Gly
Source: RNAcentral